RNAcentral lists this ribosomal RNA (92 nucleotides) under uncultured bacterium. Its description in RNAcentral is "partial 16S ribosomal RNA". It matches the Rfam family "Bacterial small subunit ribosomal RNA", at positions 262 to 353 of the family's 1533-position model. The record is from RNAcentral.
GGCCCACCAAGCUCGAUGGAUAGGGGUUCUGAGAGGAAGGUCCCCCACAUUGGAACUGAGACACGGUCCAAACUCCUACGGGAGGCAGCAUG